This 97-nucleotide small nuclear RNA is filed under the name Fukomys damarensis (Damara mole-rat). Lineage: Eukaryota; Metazoa; Chordata; Mammalia; Rodentia; Bathyergidae. The record is from RNAcentral.
GUGCUCGCUUCGGCAGCACAUAUACUAAAAUGGUAACGAUAAGAGAAGAUUAGCAUGGCCUCUGCACAAGGAAUCCUGCUUUAUUUACUUCAUCCUU